This is a long non-coding RNA of Oncorhynchus tshawytscha (Chinook salmon), 1217 nucleotides long. The record is from Ensembl. NCBI's taxonomy places the organism in Eukaryota, Metazoa, Chordata, Actinopteri, Salmoniformes, Salmonidae.
CAUAUACCACACCCCCUCGGGCCUUAUUGCUUAAUUAUACAAUGGUAGCAUGCUAUUUGUUUUAUUGUGUAAAACGAUUGUAUUUAACCAGAUGAUUUGCUCAACAUUAUGCUACUACCUGUACUGUAGCAUCAUUUAACUGUUAAUAUGUCUAUGAGCUCAUGGAAGCUUCCCUGUAGCAGUGCUAAACCAGGUUGAAGUGAAGCUUCCUUGUAGCAGUGCUAAACCAGGUUGAAGUGAAGCUUCCUUGUAGCAGUGCUAAACCAGGUUGAAGUGAAGCUUCCCUGUAGCAGUGCUAAACCAGGUUGAAGUGAAGCUUCCCUGUAGCAGUGCUAAACCACGUUGAAGUUAAGCUUCCCUGUAGCAGUGCUAAACCAAGUUGAAGUGAAGCUUCCCUGUAGCAGUGCUAAACCAAGUUGAAGUGAAGCUUCCCUGUAGCAGUGCUAAACCAAGUUGAAGUGAAGCUUCCCUGUAGCAGUGCUAAACCAAGUUGAAGUUAAGCUUCCCUGUAGCAGGGCUAAACCAGGUUGAAGUGUUGACUGAAGGUUGCAGGGCUAAACCCUCUGCUGCUAUGUACUAAAGCAGUGGUCUAAAAGGAAAAGGAAACCGCUCAGAUGUUUUAUUUACAUGACUUAAAAAAUGUAAGCCUAUGCAACAUUAACCAAUUAAAAACAGUCCUGUGGUAAUGAGGUUUGUGCAGUAAGCUAUAGUCCCAAUACACUAUCACUGUAUAUUGGCUAGGUUUGAAUUGCCCUGCCAAUGUUGUUUUUCAAUAGGACAUUCUAAAAUUAUAUUUCAACAUUAUAGGUAUUAUGAUCAGACUGGUAAUAGAUAAUUUUAUGUAUUACUUGUGAGGCACAGCUGAGUGACAUAAUAAUUAUAUAUACUUUUUUUUACUGUACUGAUGACCUGCAUCUGAUGGUCAGUCUGAGGGGAGGGAGCAGCAGUGAGGCUGGCUCUCACCUAACACACCAUCCCUCUGCUAAGAUAAGGGGAUGUAAGGGGACGUAGUCUUCCAUCUGAUGGUCACUCUGAGGGGAGGGAGCAGCAGUGAGGCUGGCUCUCACCUAACACACCAUCCCUCUGCUAAGAUAAGGGGACGUAAGGGGACUUAGUCUUCCAUCUGAUGGUCACUCUGAGGGGAGGGAGCAGCAGUGAGGCUGGCUCUCACCUAACACACCAUCCCUCUGCUAAGAAAAGGGGACGUAGUCUUCCAU